Molecule: ribosomal RNA, 505 nt
Filed under: uncultured bacterium
Lineage: Bacteria
Description: partial 16S ribosomal RNA
Rfam family: Bacterial small subunit ribosomal RNA
Source: RNAcentral
GACGAACGCUGGCGGCGUGCCUAAUACAUGCAAGUGGGACGCAAGGAAACACACUGUGCUUGCACACCGUGUUUUCUUGAGUCGCGAACGGGUGAGGAACGCGUAGGUAACCUGCCUAUUAGCGGGGGAUAACUAUUGGCAACGAUAGGUAAUACCGCAUAAUAUUAAUUAUUGCAUGAUAAUUGAUUGAAAGAUGCAAGCGCAUCACUAGUAGAUGGACCUGCGUUGUAUUCGCUAGUUGGUAAGGUAAGAGCUUACCAAGGCGGCGAGACAUAGCCGACCUGAGGGGGUGAUCAGCCGCACUGGGACGGGGACACGGCCCAGACUCCUGCGGGAGGCAACAGUAGGGAUUCUUCGGCAAUGGGCGGAAGUCUGACCGAGCAACGCCGCGUGAGUGAAGAAGGUUUUCGGAUCGUGAAGCUAUGUUGUAAGUGAAGAACGUGUGUCAGAGUGGAAAGUUCACACAGUGACGGUAGCUUACCAGAAAGGGACGGCUAACUACGUG